RNAcentral lists this ribosomal RNA (497 nucleotides) under uncultured bacterium. RNAcentral describes it as "partial 16S ribosomal RNA". It matches the Rfam family "Bacterial small subunit ribosomal RNA", at positions 28 to 507 of the family's 1533-position model. The record is from RNAcentral.
GAUGAACGCUGGCGGCGUGCCUAAUACAUGCAAGUCGAGCGAACAGACGCGGAGCUUGCUCCUCUGACGUUAGCGGCGGACGGGUGAGUAACACGUGGAUAACCUCCCUAUAUGACUGGGAACACUUCGGGAAACCGGAGAAAAUCCCGGAUAAUAUAUUGAACCGCAUGGUUCAAUAGUGAAAGACGGCUUUGCUGUCUCUUCUCGAUGGAUCUGCGCCGCUUUAGCUGGUUGGUAAGGUAACGGCUUACCAAGGCGACGAUGCGUAGCCGACCUGCGAGGGUGAUCGGCGACACGAGAACUGAGACGCGGUCCAUACGCCUACGGGAGGCAGCAGUAGGGAAUCUGCCGCAAUGGGCGAAAGCCUGACGGAGCAACGCCGCGUGAGUGAUGAAGGUCUUCGGAGCGUAAUACUCUGUUAUGAGGUAAGAACAAAUGUGUAAGUAACUAUGCACGGCUUGACGGUACCUAAUCAGAAAGCCACGGCUAACUACGUG